Molecule: long non-coding RNA, 917 nt
Organism: Acipenser ruthenus (sterlet)
Lineage: Eukaryota; Metazoa; Chordata; Actinopteri; Acipenseriformes; Acipenseridae
Exons: 4
Source: RefSeq, a predicted model, not a curated record
AAUUCUAAACUUGUAGACACGGGAAAAAGAAGAAAAAAAACGUGUCAACUCAGUUGUCAAAACCAAAACAAAAAAAAUGCUCUCAGUUAUCAUAAAAAAAAAAAGAAACUUGUAGACGCGGGAACCUUGGACACAGCAAUUGCGCGAUUUCGGGAGCAAUUGGGUUGCGCAACUGAACGCUCAGCUGAGGACCCGGCUUUAAACUUCCCUUACCCUGCGCACGUCAUAUAGCAACGGGAGGAGUUCCAUAGCAACCACUGAAACAGGUUUCCUGUUUACCAAAACGCCGAUUUAAAACUUAAAAUUAGACUGCUUUCCAGCAACUUUUGAGUAAAACAGAAUAUUGGAGUUUGUUUUGGGAUAUGGAAAAUAGUUCUUUUUUUAUUAAACCCCCCCAAAGGGUUCCUUUUUGCGUCCAGAUAGCAGAGCUUGUGUUAUAGAAACCCAUUUCAGAUAGAGCAUGCUUCAGGAUUAAAAUAAAGGACACUGUUUCAUUCGUUAUAGGAUCAGGAAGGAGACAUUAAACAAUGCAUGUUCACAUAUAGUACUUCCAUACUGCUGUGAGGAGCACUAUUGGAUACAAAGGUGUGGCCUCGGAAGGGUGUUGGUGCCACCACCAUUAAAAACCAAACGCCUCUCCACCCAGUCACCUAUUGAUAGCCUGCAUCGUGCUGGGAGCUCUGCUCUUUGUGGUGUUGAUCCUGUUAGCCGGGCAGCUGCAGCACAACAGGAUGCUGAGGAGAGGGAUUGCUAAGGAGGAGCCUGACCCCUUCCAUGAAGCCAUUUACGAGGAGAUUGAGUACAAACAGGCCAGACAGGGAUCCUAUGAUGCGCCCAGGAGAGGGAGUUUCCUUUCUGAUGAGCUGCCCUCUGACUACAGUGAUUUGGAGGACAGUGAGGGGAACCCCAUCCCAGGU